Molecule: small nuclear RNA, 111 nt
Filed under: Salvator merianae (Argentine black and white tegu)
Lineage: Eukaryota; Metazoa; Chordata; Lepidosauria; Squamata; Teiidae
Source: RNAcentral
GUGAUCAUAACCUUUGGCAGUACAUAUACUAAAAUUGGAAUGAUACAGAGAAGAUUAGCAUGGCUCCUGCUCAAGGAUAGCACACAAAUUUGUGAAGCAUUCCAUAUCACA